Molecule: ribosomal RNA, 120 nt
Filed under: uncultured bacterium
Lineage: Bacteria
Description: partial 16S ribosomal RNA
Rfam family: Bacterial small subunit ribosomal RNA
Source: RNAcentral
CACACGGUAAACGAUGAAUGCUAGGUGUAGGGGGUAUCGACCCCUUCUGUGCCGGAGUAAACACGAUAAGCAUUCCGCCUGGGGAGUACGGUCGCAAGAUUAAAACUCAAAGGAAUUGAC